UGGGGAAUAUUGCACAAUGGAGGGAACUCUGACGCAGCGAUGCCGCGUGAGUGAUGAAGGACUUCGUUUCGUAAAACUCUGUUCUAUGGGAAGAAAAGGACUGUACCACAGGAGAAAGCUCCGGCUCAAUACGCGUCAGCAGCCGCGGUAAUACGUAUGGAGCGAGCGGUGUCAGGAACUAUUGGUCGUAAAGGUUGCGCAGGCGUCAUUACAAGUUGGAUGUGAAAGAUUGUUGCUCAACAUCAAAAUUGCAUCGAAAACUACAAAGCUUGAUUUAAGGAGAGGUAAGUGGAAUUCCUGUUGUAGCGGUGAAAUGCGUGGAUAUCAGGAGGAAAAACGGUGACGAAGGCGCCUUACUGGGCUUCAACUGACGCUCAGGCACGAAAGCUUGGGGAGCAAACAGG
Molecule: ribosomal RNA, 404 nt
Filed under: Fusobacteriota bacterium
Lineage: Bacteria; Fusobacteriati; Fusobacteriota
Description: Fusobacteria bacterium partial 16S ribosomal RNA
Rfam family: Bacterial small subunit ribosomal RNA
Source: RNAcentral